This is a long non-coding RNA of Astatotilapia calliptera (eastern happy), 1292 nucleotides long. The record is from Ensembl. NCBI's taxonomy places the organism in Eukaryota, Metazoa, Chordata, Actinopteri, Cichliformes, Cichlidae.
GCGGUCGUUGUGUCCUUGGGCAAGACUACUGGUGGUGAUCAGACAACACGUUCUCACUCCCAACUCGUCAAACGUGUGACGCAUGGUCAGGCUCCCUCUGCUUCACUUAUGGACGUGCAGGGUACCCCUCUCGCCUCGGGAAUUGACGUGAAGGGUCCUCCGAUUGAAGAGAUUGCCGCGGAAGUGCCUGUUGUCGAUGGAGGAUCACUAACAGGAGCGUGGGAAGACUCCAGAAUCCACUCUGGCUGGAAUCCGGUGGAUAUGCAGUGUGUACAGGGCACGGAUGGCUUGGGGAUAGAAGCUCCUCUUGAGUCUCUCUGUCCUUGCCCGGAAGAUGCGGAACCUUCUACCAGAUUGCAGAAGUUGGAACAGUUUGUUGCCAGGAUGGGACGGGUCAACUAGUGUGUUUCCAUAGAUUACCUCUGUAUGAAUGUACUUCUUAAAUGAAGGCAAGUGUUUGUCCUUUUUUGUUCCUCAGGUACAGUACGUGAUAUCAAGGGCAGGCGGUCAACACUGGGGGUAGACAAGAAGCAGACGUACUUCCAAGAGGGAGCUGCAGUGAGGUCAGAGGAGGCGCUGGAAGGUUUCCCUAAUAAUUCCUGGUGAAUCAAAGCAGAACCAUAAAGAUUGCUGGACUACAUGAUGGCCUUACCCCUGAGCAGUCAUCCUGUUAAAGGAGGAACCAGUUAGAAGCUGUUUUCAAAGUAGCUGAGCAGAUUUCAUCUCAACAGACAAAGCUGAUGGCAGAAGAUGUCAGAGAAGAACUUCAGGCCGUGGACUGAAAAGAUCAAAUCAGCUCGUGCUGCUUCUGCUUCCAAUUAAGAAGAAGAAGAAGAAGGCGAAGGCUUCAGCGAAGUGGCGUUCAUGGUCUCAGUGAAUAGUCACGGUCACACACUGCAUGUGGUUUUAAAAGCAACAUGUCUGUUCACCACAACAAUGGAGAUGUGUAAUAUUAGUGCAGCUACGGUUUGUUCUUGAACACCAGUUUUGUUUUCUACUUUGAUCACUUAGACCAAAAAAGUGUUGUUUUCAGAUUCUUUCUUUUACAUCUAUAAACCACCUGUUCAUUUUUUUUAUUACAAUUAGUUUCACAUGAAUGUUAGUGUUUCCUUCAUGAUCUUUUAAUGCUUACACUACACUGUACAUGUCUACAUUAGAGACAUUUCUGUUACCUGUUUCUGUUGACUCAGAGUUGUGAAAUGUUCUUUUAUUUAAUGCACAAUAUGAAGCUCAUAAUUUUCUUACAAAUAAAAAUCUAAUGACAAACAUGAACAGCUGUGCUUAUUUCUGAG